UGGUGGGUUGCCUUGUCAGGUUGAUUCCGGUAACGAACGAGACCUCAGCCUGCUAAAUAGUCACGGCUGCUUUUUGCAGUCGACAGACUUCUUAGAGGGACUAUUGGCGUUUAGUCAAUGGAAGUAUGAGGCAAUAACA
RNAcentral lists this ribosomal RNA (139 nucleotides) under uncultured eukaryote. Its description in RNAcentral is "partial 18S ribosomal RNA". It matches the Rfam family "Eukaryotic small subunit ribosomal RNA", at positions 1299 to 1458 of the family's 1831-position model. The record is from RNAcentral.